GGGAGUGUAGCCCGGGGUAGAGCAUUUAACUGCAGAUCAAGAGGUCUCUGGUUCAAAUCUAGGUGCCCCUU
This 71-nucleotide transfer RNA is filed under the name Otolemur garnettii (small-eared galago). It matches the Rfam family "tRNA". Rfam says of the family: Transfer RNA (tRNA) molecules are approximately 80 nucleotides in length. The record is from Rfam by way of RNAcentral. Lineage: Eukaryota; Metazoa; Chordata; Mammalia; Primates; Galagidae.